This 603-nucleotide ribosomal RNA is filed under the name uncultured bacterium. Its description in RNAcentral is "bacterial SSU rRNA". It matches the Rfam family "Bacterial small subunit ribosomal RNA", at positions 246 to 849 of the family's 1533-position model. The record is from RNAcentral.
CAGUUGGCGGGGUAACGGCCCACCAAACCGACGAUGGAUAGGGGUUCUGAGAGGAAGGUCCCCCACAUUGGUACUGAGACACGGACCAAACUCCUACGGGAGGCAGCAGUGAGGAAUAUUGGUCAAUGGCCGAGAGGCUGAACCAACCAAGUCGCGUGAAGGAUGAAGGAUCUAUGGUUUGUAAACUUCUUUUAUAGGGGAAUAAAGUGUGGGACGUGUCCCAUUUUGUAUGUACCCUAUGAAUAAGCAUCGGCUAACUCCGUGCCAGCAGCCGCGGUAAUACGGAGGAUGCGAGCGUUAUCCGGAUUUAUUGGGUUUAAAGGGUGCGUAGGUGGUAAUUUAAGUCAGCGGUGAAAGUUUGUGGCUCAACCAUAAAAUUGCCGUUGAAACUGGGUUACUUGAGUGUGUUUGAGGUAGGCGGAAUGCGUGGUGUAGCGGUGAAAUGCAUAGAUAUCACGCAGAACUCCAAUUGCGAAGGCAGCUUACUAAACCAUAACUGACACUGAAGCACGAAAGCGUGGGUAUCAAACAGGAUUAGAUACCCUGGUAGUCCACGCAGUAAACGAUGAUUACUAGGAGUUUGCGAUACACAGUAAGCUCUAC